RNAcentral lists this ribosomal RNA (556 nucleotides) under Camellia oleifera (tea-oil Camellia). RNAcentral describes it as "eukaryotic LSU rRNA". The stretch from base 213 to 366 matches the Rfam family "5.8S ribosomal RNA". Lineage: Eukaryota; Viridiplantae; Streptophyta; Magnoliopsida; Ericales; Theaceae. The record is from RNAcentral.
UAACAAGGUCUCCGUUGGUGAACCAGCGGAGGGAUCAUUACUGAGUUUACGCUCUAUAACCCUUUGUGAACAUACCUAUAACUGUUGCUUCGGCGGGUAGGGUCUCCGCGACCCUCCCGGCCUCCCGCCUCCGGGCGGGUCGGCGCCCGCCGGAGGAUAACCAAACUCUGAUUUAACGACGUUUCUUCUGAGUGGUACAAGCAAAUAAUCAAAACUUUUAACAACGGAUCUCUUGGUUCUGGCAUCGAUGAAGAACGCAGCGAAAUGCGAUAAGUAAUGUGAAUUGCAGAAUUCAGUGAAUCAUCGAAUCUUUGAACGCACAUUGCGCCCGCCAGCAUUCUGGCGGGCAUGCCUGUUCGAGCGUCAUUUCAACCCUCAAGCUCUGCUUGGUGUUGGGGCCCUACAGCUGAUGUAGGCCCUCAAAGGUAGUGGCGGACCCUCCCGGAGCCUCCUUUGCGUAGUAACUUUACGUCUCGCACUGGGAUCCGGAGGGACUCUUGCCGUAAAACCCCCCAAUUUUCCAAAGGUUGACCUCGGAUCAGGUAGGAAUACCCGC